Molecule: non-coding RNA, 23 nt
Filed under: Arabidopsis thaliana (thale cress)
Lineage: Eukaryota; Viridiplantae; Streptophyta; Magnoliopsida; Brassicales; Brassicaceae
Source: RNAcentral
CCCUUUUCAUGAUGCCCCUUUUA